Molecule: ribosomal RNA, 274 nt
Filed under: uncultured bacterium
Lineage: Bacteria
Description: partial 16S ribosomal RNA
Rfam family: Bacterial small subunit ribosomal RNA
Source: RNAcentral
AUACGGGGGGUGCAAGCGUUAAUCGGAAUUACUGGGCGUAAAGCGCGCGUAGGCGGUUUGCUCAGUCGGAUGUGAAAGCCCAGGGCUCAACCUUGGAACUGCAUACGAUACUGGCAAACUAGAGUGUGAGAGAGGAUAGUGGAUUUUCCGGUGUAGCGGUGAAAUGCGUAGAUAUCGGAAGGAACAUCAGUGGCGAAGGCGACUGUCUGGCUCAACACUGACGCUGAGGUGCGAAAGCGUGGGUAGCAAACAGGAUUAGAAACCCUAGUAGUCC